CCUCAAGUGCAGCGUGCAGGACAAUACAGUGCACGUGUCCCUCUGGAUAAUGUAGAGCUACAGUUAUUCGGACCAAUCUAUUACAUUUACAGAAUUAAACUUUUUAAAUAUAGAUGAAACAGAAAACAACACUCAAACAACUGGUUGGAGCAAACAAUGUUGAACAGGAAGAAUUAUGUCAUCUAUCUCAGCGUCAGAAAGUUGAAGCCUUAAGGAGUGUCAUUUGUUUUCUCGUUUAUAAUGCUAUCAUCAAACAUAUCUGGACUGAGUCACAUUUGGAAUAAGAAUCCACCUUAUUAUAGGAUGAAUCUGUCUACUUGCUCAUUCUAAUUUCCCUCUGGGUUUUGGUAGGCAAACAUUUGGCUGCAGGAUUAGGCCAAAAAGACCUAAAAUGUGAAAAUUUGUAAGACAAGCUGUUUAGCUUUCAUUCAUCAACUUGUCAUCUGGCACGAACUGAAUGACUGAAUUAUUUUAUGACUAUUUUUUAUUUUUUCCACAUUUUUAUGUUUGUAAUUGUUUAUUAUUGUUAUAUUAUUAUACUAGAUUUUUA
RNAcentral lists this unclassified non-coding RNA (550 nucleotides) under Stegodyphus dumicola. RNAcentral's name for it is "uncharacterized LOC118193064, transcript variant X1". Lineage: Eukaryota; Metazoa; Arthropoda; Arachnida; Araneae; Eresidae. The record is from RNAcentral.